UACGUAGGGGGCAAGCGUUGUCCGGAUUUAUUGGGUGUAAAGAGCUCGUAGGCGGUGUGUCGCGUCGGCCGUGAAAACCUGCAGCUUAACUGUGGGCUUGCGGUCGAUACGGGCAUCACUGGAGUUCGGCAGGGGAGACUGGAAUUCCUGGUGUAGCGGUGAAAUGCGCAGAUAUCAGGAGGAACACCGGUGGCGAAGGCGGUUCUCUGGGCAUUACCUGACGCUGAGGAGCGAAAGUGUGGGGAGCGAACAGG
RNAcentral lists this ribosomal RNA (254 nucleotides) under uncultured bacterium. RNAcentral's name for it is "partial 16S ribosomal RNA". It matches the Rfam family "Bacterial small subunit ribosomal RNA", at positions 524 to 776 of the family's 1533-position model. The record is from RNAcentral.